RNAcentral lists this ribosomal RNA (502 nucleotides) under uncultured bacterium. RNAcentral describes it as "partial 16S ribosomal RNA". It matches the Rfam family "Bacterial small subunit ribosomal RNA", at positions 28 to 507 of the family's 1533-position model. The record is from RNAcentral.
GACGAACGCUGGCGGCGUGCUUAACACAUGCAAGUCGAACGGUGAAGGGGUCUGCUUUUGUGGGCCCUGGAUGAGUGGCGAACGGGUGAGUAACACGUGAGUAACCUGCCCCCUUCUUCUGGAUAACCGCAUGAAAGUGUGGCUAAUACGGGAUAUUCUGGGUCUGUCGCAUGAUGGGUCUGGGAAAGAUUGCGCCUUUGGGUGUUGUUGGUGGGGGAUGGGCUCGCGGCCUAUCAGCUUGUUGGUGGGGUGAUGGCCUACCAAGGCGGUGACGGGUAGCCGGCCUGAGAGGGUGGACGGUCACACUGGGACUGAGACACGGCCCAGACUCCUACGGGAGGCAGCAGUGGGGAAUAUUGCACAAGGGGCGCAAGCCUGAUGCAGCGACGCCGCGUGAGGGAUGGAGGCCUUCGGGUUGUAAACCUCUUUCGCCAGUGAAACAGGCCUGCUCCGUGUGGGUGGGUUGACGGUAGCUGGAGAAGAAGCGCCGGCUAACUACGUG